RNAcentral lists this ribosomal RNA (494 nucleotides) under Ligilactobacillus ruminis. RNAcentral's name for it is "bacterial SSU rRNA". It matches the Rfam family "Bacterial small subunit ribosomal RNA", at positions 161 to 641 of the family's 1533-position model. Lineage: Bacteria; Bacillati; Bacillota; Bacilli; Lactobacillales; Lactobacillaceae. The record is from RNAcentral.
UGCUAAUACCGCAUAACCAUGAACACCGCAUGAUGUUCAUGUAAAAGACGGCUUUUGCUGUCACUUUUGGAUGGGCCUGCGGCGUAUUAACUUGUUGGUGGGGUAACGGCCUACCAAGGUGAUGAUACGUAGCCGAACUGAGAGGUUGAUCGGCCACAUUGGGACUGAGACACGGCCCAAACUCCUACGGGAGGCAGCAGUAGGGAAUCUUCCACAAUGGACGAAAGUCUGAUGGAGCAACGCCGCGUGAAUGAAGAAGGCCUUCGGGUCGUAAAAUUCUGUUGUCAGAGAAGAACGUGCGUGAGAGUAACUGUUCACGUAUUGACGGUAUCUGACCAGAAAGCCACGGCUAACUACGUGCCAGCAGCCGCGGUAAUACGUAGGUGGCAAGCGUUGUCCGGAUUUAUUGGGCGUAAAGGGAACGCAGGCGGUCUUUUAAGUCUGAUGUGAAAGCCUUCGGCUUAACCGAAGUAGUGCAUUGGAAACUGGAAGAC